RNAcentral lists this ribosomal RNA (253 nucleotides) under uncultured bacterium. Its description in RNAcentral is "partial 16S ribosomal RNA". It matches the Rfam family "Bacterial small subunit ribosomal RNA", at positions 524 to 776 of the family's 1533-position model. The record is from RNAcentral.
UACGUAGGGUGCAAGCGUUGUCCGGAAUUAUUGGGCGUAAAGAGCUCGUAGGCGGUUUGUUGCGUCGGCUGUGAAAUCCCGAGGCUCAACCUCGGGUCUGCAGUCGAUACGAGCAAACUAGAGUGUUGCAGGGGAGACUGGAAUUCCUGGUGUAGCGGUGAAAUGCGCAGAUAUCAGGAGGAACACCGAUGGCGAAGGCAGAUCUCUGGGCCGUAACUGACGCUGAGGAGCGAAAGCAUGGGGAGCGAACAGG